RNAcentral lists this ribosomal RNA (506 nucleotides) under uncultured bacterium. Its description in RNAcentral is "partial 16S ribosomal RNA". It matches the Rfam family "Bacterial small subunit ribosomal RNA", at positions 29 to 523 of the family's 1533-position model. The record is from RNAcentral.
AGUGAACGCUGGCGGUAGGCCUAACACAUGCAAGUCGAACGGCAGCACAGGAGAGCUUGCUCUCUGGGUGGCGAGUGGCGGACGGGUGAGGAAUACAUCGGAAUCUACUUUUUCGUGGGGGAUAACGUAGGGAAACUUACGCUAAUACCGCAUACGACCUACGGGUGAAAGCAGGGGAACUUCGGGCCUUGCGCGAUUGAAUGAGCCGAUGGCGGAUUAGCUAGUUGGCGGGGUAAAGGCCCACCAAGGCGACGAUCCGUAGCUGGUCUGAGAGGAUGAUCAGCCACACUGGAACUGAGACACGGUCCAGACUCCUACGGGAGGCAGCAGUGGGGAAUAUUGGACAAUGGGCGCAAGCCUGAUCCAGCCAUACCGCGUGGGUGAAGAAGGCCUUCGGGUUGUAAAGCCCUUUUGUUGGGAAAGAAAUCCAGCUGGCUAAUACCCGGUUGGGAUGACGGUACCCAAAGAAUAAGCACCGGCUAACUUCGUGCCAGCAGCCGCCGUAA